CCAAGGAGUCUAACAUGUGCGCGAGUCGUCGGGUCUUGAAUAGGCCCGCAGGCGCAAUGAAAGUGAAGGGCGACCGAGUUGUCGUCUGCGUUGGGAUCCCUGGACCGUCGUGUCUGGGGCGCACCAACGGCCCGUCCCGUCCGCAGCGUCGGUGGGACGGAGCGAGAGCGUACACGUUGGGACCCGAAAGAUGGUGAACUAUGCCUGGGCAGGACGAGGCCAGAGGAAACUCUGGUGGAGGUCCGCAGCGAUUCUGACGUGCAAAUCGAUCGUCAGACCUGGGUAUAGGGGCGAAAGACUAAUCGAACCGUCUAGUAGCUGGUUCCCUCCGAAGUUUCCCUCAGGAUAGCUGGCGCUCGAGGGAGUCAGUCUCAUCCGGUAAAGCGAAUGAUUAGAGGCCUUGGGGCCGAAACGACCUCAACCUAUUCUCAAACUUUCAAUGGGUGAGAAGUCCGGUUUACAUGACUGAAGCCCGGACAAGACAGAGAGGAUGCGAGUGCCCAGUGGGCCACUUUU
RNAcentral lists this ribosomal RNA (516 nucleotides) under Franckeus kochi. Its description in RNAcentral is "eukaryotic LSU rRNA". It matches the Rfam family "Eukaryotic large subunit ribosomal RNA", at positions 666 to 1138 of the family's 3401-position model. Lineage: Eukaryota; Metazoa; Arthropoda; Arachnida; Scorpiones; Vaejovidae. The record is from RNAcentral.